This 460-nucleotide ribosomal RNA is filed under the name uncultured bacterium. Its description in RNAcentral is "partial 16S ribosomal RNA". It matches the Rfam family "Bacterial small subunit ribosomal RNA", at positions 338 to 795 of the family's 1533-position model. The record is from RNAcentral.
CCUACGGGAGGCAGCAGUGAGGAAUAUUGGUCAAUGGACGAGAGUCUGAACCAGCCAAGUAGCGUGAAGGAUGACUGCCCUAUGGGUUGUAAACUUCUUUUAUAUGGGAAUAAAAUGUUCCACGUGUGGGAUUUUGUAUGUACCAUAUGAAUAAGGAUCGGCUAACUCCGUUCCAGCAGCCGCGGUAAUACGGAGGAUCCGAGCGUUAUCCGGAUUUAUUGGGUUUAAAGGGAGAGUAGGUGGAUUGUUAAGUCAGUUGUGAAAGUUUGCGGGUCAACCGUAAAAUUGCAGUUGAAACUGGCAGUCUUGAGUACAGUAGAGGUGGGCGGAAUUCGUGGUGUAGCGGUGAAAUGCUUAGAUAUCACGAAGAACUCCGAUUGCGAAGGCAGUUCACUGGACUGCAACUGACACUGAGGCUCGAAAGUGUGGGUAUCAAACAGGAUUAGAUACCCGGGUAGUC